RNAcentral lists this ribosomal RNA (253 nucleotides) under uncultured bacterium. RNAcentral describes it as "partial 16S ribosomal RNA". It matches the Rfam family "Bacterial small subunit ribosomal RNA", at positions 524 to 776 of the family's 1533-position model. The record is from RNAcentral.
UACAGAGGGUGCAAGCGUUAAUCGGAUUUACUGGGCGUAAAGCGUGUGUAGGUGGCUUCCUAAGUCGGUUGUGUAAUCCCUGGGCUCAACCUGGGAAUUGCAGUCGAUACUGGGAAGCUCGAGUUCGGUAGAGGGCGGCGGGAUUCCCGGUGUAGCGGUGAAAUGCGUAGAUAUCGGGAGGAACAUCGAUGGCGAAAGCAACCGCCUGGGCCUGAACUGACACUGAGACACGAAAGCGUGGGGAGCAAACAGG